RNAcentral lists this transfer RNA (71 nucleotides) under Marmota marmota marmota (Alpine marmot). It matches the Rfam family "tRNA". Rfam says of the family: Transfer RNA (tRNA) molecules are approximately 80 nucleotides in length. Lineage: Eukaryota; Metazoa; Chordata; Mammalia; Rodentia; Sciuridae. The record is from Rfam by way of RNAcentral. RNAcentral also lists the same sequence under 3 other names.
GAGGAUGUGGCUCAAUGGUAGAGCACUUGCCUAGCAUGUGCGAGGCCCUGGGUUCCAUCCCCAGUACCCCA